GAUGAAGAACGCAUCGAAAUGCGAUACUUGGUGUGAAUUGCAGAAUCCCGUGAACCAUCGAGUCUUUGAACGCAAGUUGCGCCCGAAGCCAUUAGGCCGAGGGCACGCCUGCCUGGGCGUCACACGUCGUUGCCCCCCCAUCUACUCCUUCGGGAUUGCGGGGGGCGGAUGAUGGCCUCCCGUGCGCCUCGUCGCGCGGUUGGCAUAAAUGCCAAGUCCUCGGCGACGCACGCCACGACAAUCGGUGGUUGCGAAACCUCGGUUGCCCGUCGUGUGCGGUCGUCGCGCAUCGAGGGCUCGAAAAAAUUGUCGGGCUCCGGCUCGGCUUUCAACGCGACCCCAGGUCAGGCGGGGUUACCCGCUGAAUUUAAGCAUAUCAAUAAGCGGAGGA
Molecule: unclassified non-coding RNA, 391 nt
Filed under: soil metagenome
Description: partial contains 5.8S ribosomal RNA, internal transcribed spacer 2, and large subunit ribosomal RNA
Rfam family: 5.8S ribosomal RNA (bases 1-122)
Source: RNAcentral